UACGUAGGACCCAAGCGUUAUCCGGAAUUACUGGGCGUAAAGAGUUGCGUAGGUGGCAUAGUAAGCAAAUAGUGAAAUGAUACGGCUCAACCGUAUGCCCAUUAUUUGAACUGCUAAGCUUGAGCAUGAGAGAGGUAGAUGGAAUUUCUAGUGUAGGAGUGAAAUCCGUAGAUAUUAGAAGGAACACCGAUGGCGUAGGCAGUCUACUGGCUCAUUGCUGACACUAAGGCACGAAAGCGUGGGGAGCGAACGGG
RNAcentral lists this ribosomal RNA (254 nucleotides) under uncultured bacterium. RNAcentral describes it as "partial 16S ribosomal RNA". It matches the Rfam family "Bacterial small subunit ribosomal RNA", at positions 524 to 776 of the family's 1533-position model. The record is from RNAcentral.